GACGAACGCUGGCGGCGUGCUUAACACAUACAAGUCGAACGGAAAGGCCCUGCUUUUGUGGGGUGCUCGAGUGGCGAACGGGUGAGUAACACGUGAGUAACCUGCCCUUGACUUUGGGAUAACUUCAGGAAACUGGGGCUAAUACCGGAUAGGAGCUCCUGCUGCAUGGUGGGGGUUGGAAAGUUUCGGCGGUUGGGGAUGGACUCGCGGCUUAUCAGCUUGUUGGUGGGGUAGUGGCUUACCAAGGCUUUGACGGGUAGCCGGCCUGAGAGGGUGACCGGCCACAUUGGGACUGAGAUACGGCCCAGACUCCUACGGGAGGCAGCAGUGGGGAAUAUUGCACAAUGGGCGGAAGCCUGAUGCAGCAACGCCGCGUGCGGGAUGAUGGCCUUCGGGUUGUAAACCGCUUUCGCCUGUGACGAAGCGUGAGUGACGGUAAUGGGUAAAGAAGCACCGGCUAACUACGUG
This 468-nucleotide ribosomal RNA is filed under the name uncultured bacterium. Its description in RNAcentral is "partial 16S ribosomal RNA". It matches the Rfam family "Bacterial small subunit ribosomal RNA", at positions 28 to 507 of the family's 1533-position model. The record is from RNAcentral.